Molecule: RNA transcript, 3110 nt
Organism: Lagenorhynchus albirostris (white-beaked dolphin)
Lineage: Eukaryota; Metazoa; Chordata; Mammalia; Artiodactyla; Delphinidae
Gene: INTS10
Gene name: integrator complex subunit 10
Exons: 19
Source: RefSeq, a predicted model, not a curated record
CGCAGUAGCGUCCGCGGCGGUGGCGGCGGCGGCGGCGGCAGCACGGGCCGCGGCGGCGAGGUCCGCGGCGUCCCCCAGCCGGAAGGUCCGGCAGCCUCAGGCCGCCUGAGGCCUCCCGCGUCAUGUCGGCCCAGGGCGACUGCGAGUUCCUGGUGCAGCGAGCCCGCGAGCUGGUGCAGCAGGACCUGUGGGCCGCCAAGGCUUGGCUGAUCACGGCCCGCAGCCUCUACCCCGCAGACUUCAACAUCCAGUAUGAGAUGUACACCAUCGAGCGGAACGCUGAGCGGACGGCCACCGCCGGGAGGCUGCUCUACGACAUGUUUGUGAAUUUCCCAGAUCAGCCCGUGGUGUGGAGAGAAAUCAGCAUUAUUACAUCAGCAUUAAGAAACGAUUCACAGGAUAAACAAACCCAAUUUUUAAGAAGUUUAUUUGAAACUCUUCCUGGUCGGGUCCAGUGUGAAAUGUUACUAAAGGUUACGGAACAAUGCUUCAACACUUUGGAACGAUCAGAAAUGUUGCUUCUACUUUUGAGACGAUUCCCUGAAACGGUGGUACAGCAUGGGGUUGGCCUUGGGGAGGCACUGUUGGAGGCUGAAACUAUUGAAGAGCAAGAAUCUCCUGUUAACUGCUUUAGAAAAUUAUUUGUGUGUGAUGUCCUUCCUCUAAUAAUUAACAACCAUGAUGUUCGGUUGCCCGCCAAUUUGUUGUAUAAGUACUUGAACAAAGCAGCUGAAUUUUAUAUCAAUUAUGUCACUAGGUCUACUCAAAUAGAGAGUCAGCAUCAAGGUACCCAGGAAACGUCUGAUUUAAUGUCACCGAGCAAACGUAGCUCUCAGAAGUACAUAAUAGAGGGGCUGACUGAAAAAUCAUCCCAGAUCGUGGACCCUUGGGAGAGGUUGUUUAAGAUUUUGAAUGUUGUUGGAAUGAGAUGUGACUGGCAGAUGGAUAAAGGAAGACGAAGCUAUGGUGAUAUUUUGCAUAGAAUGAAGGAUCUCUGCAGAUACAUGAACAACUUUGAUAACGAAGCUCAUGCAAAAUAUAAAAACCAAGUGGUUUAUUCCACUAUGUUGGUCUUCUUUAAGAAUGCAUUUCAGUAUGUCAACAGCAUACAGCCGUCUCUAUUCCAAGGUCCUAAUGCCCCUAGCCAAGUUCCACUGGUUCUUCUGGAGGACAUAUCAAAUGUAUACGGUGAUGUAGAGAUCGAUCGCAAUAAACACAUACAUAAAAAGAGGAAACUAGCUGAGGGAAGAGAAAAAACCAUGAGUACAAGCUCCACGGGGCCAGUGGCAGUGUCUGGGCAUCCAUCUGAACGGUGCCUGCACCCCAGCAGGCCUUCGAGUUCAGACGAUGAAGACUGUUCAGCAAAAGGAAGGAAUCGUCACAUUGUUGUCAAUAAGGCAGAACUUGCUAACUCCAUCGAGGUGUUGGAAAGCUUUAAGCUGGCCAGAGAGAGCUGGGAGCUGCUCUAUUCCCUGGAAUUCCUUGACAAGGAAUUUACAAGAAUUUGUUUGGCGUGGAAGACGGAUACUUGGCUUUGGUUGAGAAUCUUCCUCAACGAUGUGAUCAUCUAUCAGGGUCAAUAUAAAAAGGCCAUAGCCAGCCUGCACCACUUGGCCGCUCUCCAGGGACCGCUUCCUCAGCCACAGAUCUCGGGACAGGGGACCUUGGAGCAUCAGAGGGCGCUCAUCCAGCUGGCGACCUGCCACUUUGCCUUGGGGGAGUACAGAAUGACGUGUGAGAAAGUCCUUGAUUUGAUGUGCUACAUGGUCCUCCCCAUCCAGGAUGGAGGCAAGUCACAGGAAGAACCCUCAAAAAUAAAGCCCAAGUUUAGAAAAGGUUCAGAUCUGAAGCUGCUGCCUUGUACCAGCAAGGCUAUCAUGCCCUAUUGCCUGCAUUUAAUGUUAGCUUGUUUUAAGCUGAGAGCCUUCACAGACAGCAGAGACGACCUGGCGCUGGGGCACGUGAUCGUGCUGCUUCAGCAGGAGUGGCCGCGGGGAGAGACCCUUUUCUUGAAAGCCGUCAAUAAGAUUUGCCAGCAAGGAAACUUCCAAUAUGAGAAUUUUUUCAAUUAUGUUACAAAUAUCGACAUGCUGGAGGAGUUCGCCUACCUGAGAACUCAGGAAGGUGGGAAGAUCCAUCUGGAACUCCUGCCCAAUCAAGGGAUGCUGAUCAAUCCUCAUUGCAGUUUGGACAGUACAUCCUCUGUGCUGCAGACGCCUCGCGUAGUGUGAUGUCCAUACCUCCUCCUCUGCGUCCUGCACGUUCAGCGUGUGUGGGUCAGGAUCAGAGUCACUGCAGGAGACCGAACCCCGAGUGAGAAGAAAGUGUUGCUGAGGCUGACAGAUUCUCCUUUUUCCCUCACUUGUGAAAGGGACGAGUUUUCAGCGCAAAGCCAAAAUCCGCAUCUCGUGCUGUCUUUGGGGAGUGUUGUCGAGAGGGAAGUAAGAAGUGUCCCUCUGGACUCCCGUAGCCUCGGGGCUGGGGCAUCCAGGCAGCACGGUGUCCUGUCGGGAAUGGGAAGGUGGGGUGCUUGUCCUUCACCUUGCAAACGUUACUAAAGAUUCUGAGCAUUUGACAUGAAAGCGCAAGACCUUUAUACGUUAGCUGGCUCAGGCAAGGGGACCAGACAUGCUCAUCUUCUCACUCUGGUAGCUCCCCUGGAACGUGGGGAAAAUAAUUGCGUGAUUCAAAAUAUUCUUCACCAUGCUUGAGAGUAAAGAUGGCUUUUUGACACGGAAGCCUAGGUAACCCCUUUUACGUUGUAAUUUGCAGGUUGUGAGGCUGGACACACAAACAUACCUUUAAUAGCUUUUUCUUUAAUUCCCAUUAAUGCUCACCAUACAAAUUGUCAUAAUACGGAGACAACCUCAGUAGAAUCAACUCCAUUUACUUAGAUUAAACCUGAGUUUAAUAAUCCUCACACUAGAUAAUGCUUAGCUGUGAAUGUGAGAGAAGAGGCUGUCAGAAAAUCAGCGGCACCACACGGUCACCCGGGGCAUCACCAAGGGCGUGAAGGAGGACUUCCGCCUGGCCAUGGAGCGCCAGGUGUCCCGCUGUGGGGAGAACUUGACGCUGGUGCUGCACAGGUUCUGCGUCAACGAGAAGAUCUU